CCUACGGGUGGCAGCAGUGAGGAAUAUUGGUCAAUGGACGCAAGUCUGAACCAGUCAUGCCGCGUGCAGGAGGACGGCUCUAUGGGUUGUAAACUGCUUUUGUACGAGGGUAAACGCCGGUACGCAUAUCUGUCUGAACGUAUCUUACGGAUAAGGAUCGGCUAACUCCGUGCCAGCAGCCGCGGUAAUACGGAGGAUUCAAGCGUUAACCGGAUUUAUUGGGUUUAGAGGGUGCGUAGGCGGUCGGAUAAGUUAGAGGUGAAAUCCCGAGGCUCAACUUCGGAAUUGCCUCUGAUACUGGUAGGCUAGAGAGUAGUUGAGGUAGGUGGAAUGUAUGGUGUAGCGGUGAAAUGCUUAGAGAUCAUACAGAACACCGAUUGCGAAGGCAGCUUACCAAGCUAUGUCUGACGUUGAGGAACGAAAGCGUGGGGAGCAAACAGGAUUAGAUACCCUGGUAGUC
Molecule: ribosomal RNA, 460 nt
Filed under: uncultured bacterium
Lineage: Bacteria
Description: partial 16S ribosomal RNA
Rfam family: Bacterial small subunit ribosomal RNA
Source: RNAcentral